GAUAACACUUAGAAAUAGGUGCUAAUACCGCAUAAGCGCACGAAGCCGCAUGGAUUUGUGUGAAAAACUCCGGUGGUGUAAGAUGGACCCGCGUCUGAUUAGCUUGUUGGCGGGGUAACGGCCCACCAAGGCGACGAUCAGUAGCCGGCCUGAGAGGGUGGACGGCCACAUUGGGACUGAGACACGGCCCAAACUCCUACGGGAGGCAGCAGUGGGGGAUAUUGGACAAUGGGGGGAACCCUGAUCCAGCGACGCCGCGUGAGUGAAGAAGUAUUUCGGUAUGUAAAGCUCUGUCAGCAGGGAAGAAAGAAAUGACGGUACCUGACCAAGAAGCCCCGGCUAACUACGUGCCAGCAGCCGCGGUAAUACGUAGGGGGCAAGCGUUAUCCGGAAUUACUGGGUGUAAAGGGAGCGUAGACGGUUAAGUAAGUCUGGAGUGAAAGGCCGGGGCUCAACCCCGGGACUGCUCUGGAAACUAUUUAACUUGAGUGCAGGAGAGGUAAGCGGAAUUCCUAGUGUAGCGGUGAAAUGCGUAGAUAUUAGGAGGAACACCAGUGGCGAAGGCGGCUUACUGGACUGUAACUGACGUUGAGGCUCGAAAGCGUGGGGAGCAAACAGGAUUAGAUACCCUGGUAGUCCACGCCGUAAACGAUGAUUACUAGGUGU
This 666-nucleotide ribosomal RNA is filed under the name uncultured bacterium. Its description in RNAcentral is "bacterial SSU rRNA". It matches the Rfam family "Bacterial small subunit ribosomal RNA", at positions 142 to 823 of the family's 1533-position model. The record is from RNAcentral.